CACGCCACGCCCUGGGUGGAGCCCCUGCCCAUCACCUCCACCACCGAAGACAUCCCUAUAGAGACCAUGCCCUCCACAGAGUUGCCCUCCGCAGCCACUCCUCUGUCCCGUCUGAUCUCCGCGGCCCCCUCCCCCGCACUCAGCUCGUCGUACCGCUACUGCUACCUACUGCUUCUAGCCUGCGCACUCCUAUUUAUCAUGUGAUGUGUCUUUCAUUCCUGUGGAAGAAAUUAAGGAAGAGGAAAAAAACCUUCUAUUUCUAUUUUGCACAUGUUAAUGGAUAUCGUGCAUUGAUAAUUUAAGUUUCUCACAAAUGAAAAAAAAAAUAGAAAAAUUAAUAAAUGAUGAUGAAAUAAAGUGAAAUACAACAACAACAACUAUGAUGACAACAACAACAACAGCAUCAGCCACGACAACAACAACAACAACAACAACAACAAUGACGGUAAUAACAACAAACAACAGAAGCUGAAAUAUGAAGAAGAAGAAAACGAGUUAGACCUUUUAGUGAGAUGGACAGAUAGACAAAAUGAAUGAAUGGACAAACGAAUGGACUCUGCACGGACACAGGGCCUUAAAACCCCCAGGGAAGUCAAACAUGUGGGGACUGUGAGUGACUAUAACGAUGUUAUAUUCUGCCCGGCAGCACAAGGAGGUUCCAUCGCCCACCCACCACCCAAAAAAAUCCCUAUUACCCCCCACACACACAAACAAGGAGGUUCCAUCGCCCACCCACCCCUCUAAAAUAAUCCCUAUUACCCCCCACACACACAAACAAGGAGGUUCCAUCGCCCACCCACCCCUCUAAAAUAAUCCCUACCAACCCCCCGCCUCUCUCUCUUGGAAUCCCGACAGCCCCCUGUCUCCACACAAGGAGGUUCCAUUGCCCACCCCCCCCAAAAAAAUCCUUAUUACACCCACCUCUCUCUCUCUCUCUCUCGGAAUCCCAACGGCCCCUGUCUCCACUACAAUCUUCACGCCCCCUUAAAUUGAUUUAAAUUGUUUGUUUAGUUGGUUGUUUUUUAAUUAUUAUUAUUAUUUUCCUCCACCUUUGAAUGACAUCCUGCAAUUUUUUUUGCCAACACCACCAGUUUCACCACCAGUCAUCACCUGGUUGUCAGCACCAACAUACAGCUAACUCAUCAUGCCAAAGACUUGUUCCUGGAUGAAAGAAAGAAACAAAAAAAGACAAAAAAACAAAAACAAAACAAAAAAAGGGGCUUUUACCUGUGAUCCUUCCUUGCCUUCCCCCCUAGCCAGCCUGUGUCUAUGGACCCAUCGCAAGCAGAGAGAGAAGAAGAACGACAAGUCUUAAACAAACAGAAAAAUUGUAGCGGGAAAAGACAGUUAGACUAACUCCUUGGAAUGACGGACAUCCACUUAUUUUCACUUUGAAUUCUUGAGUUGAUUUUUUGUUUGUUUGUGUUGAUUUUUUCAUGUCCAGUAGUAAGAGAAAGGAUUUCAGAUGUAGAGACAGACACACACACGCACACACACACGCACACACACACACACACACACACACACACACACACACACACACACACACACACACACACACACACACACACACACACACACACACACACACACACACAAGCACACACACACACACACACACACAUGCACGCACUUACACAAGCACACGCAAACAUGCACACACACACACACACACACACAAACAUGCACACACAAACAGAAACACACACACGCAGACACACACACACACACACACACACACACACACACACACACACACGCAGUUUUUCCUUUUUUCUUUGUUUGAUCAGCAAAAGCAGUUCAUAGCCAUUGCCUGUGUUGGACUGUGUUUUUCAUGUGGUGGUGGUUGACACACGAACGAUACUCACACACACACACACACACCGCACACCGCACACCGUACACGUGCACACACACACACACACACACACACACACACACACACACACACACACACACACACACACACACACACACACACACACACACACACACACACACACACACACACACACACACACACACACACACACACACACACACACAGAGCUGCGUUUUUGACCCCUGCUCUAGCCUUUGCGUCUCAAUGCUGUUUUGCUUUCCAACUCCAUGGCCUUUGAACAUGUGAUUUUGCAGUUUACAUUUUAAUAGUCAAUAUCCAAUUUUAAUUUUACGUUAUUACAAGGGAGAUCAUUGUGCUUUAUGUUUUGUUUAUUAUUAAACAAAAUAUACAUAUAGUUUUUUUUUAAAAACAACAUUCAUAACUGCUUAAUUCUCCCUGAUCAUAUUUUGUAAACUAUGAUAUGUAUCUUUAACAUGAAAAAAAGUUUAUUAUUUAAUAAUGUAUGUAUUAGCUUUAGAUUCUCGUAACCUGUACCUGGGUCCUUUUAUAGAUGUAUAUAAAAUGAAAGGUUGUUCAUUAAAUGUGACCAUUUCACAAUGAACAGAA
Molecule: long non-coding RNA, 2449 nt
Organism: Engraulis encrasicolus (European anchovy)
Lineage: Eukaryota; Metazoa; Chordata; Actinopteri; Clupeiformes; Engraulidae
Exons: 3
Source: RefSeq, a predicted model, not a curated record